UACGUAGGGAGCUAGCGUUGUCCGGAAUCAUUGGGCGUAAAGCGCGCGUAGGCGGCCCGGUAAGUCCGUUGUGAAAGUCAAAGGCUUAACCUUUGAAUGCCGAUGGAUACUGCCGGGCUAGAGUCCGGAAGAGGCGAGUAGAAUUCCUGGUGUAGCGGUGGAAUGCGCAGAUAUCAGGAGGAAUACCCAUAGCGAAGGCAGCUCGCUGGGACGGUACUGACGCUGAGGCGCGAAAGCGUGGGGAGCGAACAGG
Molecule: ribosomal RNA, 253 nt
Filed under: uncultured prokaryote
Description: partial 16S ribosomal RNA
Rfam family: Bacterial small subunit ribosomal RNA
Source: RNAcentral